UGUACCACCUUGUCGGGUAGCUUAUCAGACUGAUGUUGACUGUUGAAUCUCAUGGCAACAGCAGUCGAUGGGCUGUCUGACAUUUUGGUAUC
Bos mutus (wild yak) is the source of this 92-nucleotide microRNA precursor. Ensembl annotates it as microRNA 21. Lineage: Eukaryota; Metazoa; Chordata; Mammalia; Artiodactyla; Bovidae. The record is from Ensembl.